Molecule: ribosomal RNA, 1803 nt
Filed under: Triticum aestivum (bread wheat)
Lineage: Eukaryota; Viridiplantae; Streptophyta; Magnoliopsida; Poales; Poaceae
Description: partial small subunit ribosomal RNA
Source: RNAcentral
AUGUCAACCCACCACCACCACAGCCUCAGCAGCAAUGCCGUCCCCCGCGACAUCCCCAAGCCCGCCUCCGCCGACGAGCUCGCCAAGAAUGGCAAGAAGAAGAAGUCCUUCAUGUCCAACAUCUUCCGCAAGAAGGGCCGCAGCGGCGCCGGCAGCUCCGACAAGCGCCCUCCCUCCCGCCGAGACCGAGACUUCCUCUUCGAUUUGGAAGAGAAAUACGGCGAGAGGGCGGACUCCGCGACGGCGAGGGCGGAGGAGUUCCUGGACGCGUCCCCCGCCGUCCGCAAAAGCGUCUCAGAUCGGCAUUGCGCGACGCGGAUCGAGAGCCUGACCCUGAGCUGCCUCGACUCGCCCAACAGGAACGUCGACACACGGGAGUACAGGGUGUUCGUGGGCACGUGGAACGUGGGCGGGAGGCCCCCUAACAGCAGCCUUAACCUAGAGGAUUUUCUCCAGAUAGAAGGGCUACCCGACAUAUACGUCCUAGGGUUCCAGGAGAUCGUGCCGCUGAACGCGGGCAACGUGCUGGUGGUGGAGGACAACGAGCCGGCGGCCAAGUGGCUGGCGCUCAUCUACCAGGCGCUGAACAAGCCCCAGCAGCAGCAGCAGCGCCAGCAGCAGGCGCAGGCGCAGGCGCAGCAGGACCAGCCGUCGUCCGGCGACGAGCUGUCGCCGACGGAGUCCGUCGCCUCCUCCUCCUCCUCCCGGGCCCGCCCGUCCAUCCCCAGGUCCUCCAGCAGCGGCGCGCUCCUCUUCCAGAAGCCGACCCUCAAGGCGCUCAGCAAGAGCUACCGCGUCAACAGCGCGCUCGUCAAGACCUGCACCUGCAUGGCCGACCCCUCCACCAUGCACCGCCGCGCCAGGGAGAUGCGGGACUUCAUCUACCGCGUCGAGGCCUCCACGUCCAGCGCCGACGACCCGGACCCAUCCUGCUCCUCCUCCUCGUCGGCGAUGAUGACGCCCGCGGGACCCGAGGCCGGCGGCGGCAUGAACUACUGCCUGAUCGCGAGCAAGCAGAUGGUGGGCAUCUUCCUGUCGGUGUGGGUGCGGCGGGAGCUGGUGCAGAACAUCGGCCACCUCCGGGUGGACUCCGUGGGGCGCGGCAUCAUGGGCCGCCUCGGCAACAAGGGCUGCAUCGCCAUGAGCAUGACGCUGCACCAGACCAGCGUGUGCUUCGUGUGCAGCCACCUGGCCUCCGGCGAGAAGGACGGCGACGAGGUCCGCCGCAACUCCGACGUCGCCGAGAUCCUCAAGAGCACCCAGUUCCCCCGCAUCUGCAAGGUCCCCGGCCAGCGCAUCCCCGAGAAGAUCAUCGACCACGACCGGAUCAUAUGGCUCGGGGACCUGAACUACCGGGUGGCGCUCAGCUACGACGAGACCAGGGUGCUGCUGGAGCAGAACGACUGGGACACCCUGCUGGAGAACGAUCAGCUGAUGAUCGAGAGGCAAGCAGGACGGGUGUUCAAGGGGUGGAAGGAGGGCAAGAUCUACUUCGCGCCGACGUACAAGUACAAGCUCAACUCCGACACCUACGCCGGCGAGACGACCAAAUCCAAGAGGAAAAGGAGAACACCCUCAUGGUGCGACCGGAUACUGUGGCACGGCAAGGGGAUAGAGCAGCUGCAGUACAUCAGGGGGGAGCACCGGUUCUCCGACCACCGGCCCGUCUGCAGCGUCUUCGUGGUCGAGGCCGACGCCGACAACGGGAGCAGGAUCAGGAAGGGCUACUCCACCCUGGACUCCAGGGUUCAUUGCGAGUCGCCGUUGCCGAUACCGCAGAGACACAGCUUCUAUGACUUUUGA